Long non-coding RNA from Patiria miniata (bat star), 2885 nucleotides. RefSeq lists it as uncharacterized. The record is from RefSeq and is a predicted model, not a curated record. The transcript is spliced from 3 exons. NCBI's taxonomy places the organism in Eukaryota, Metazoa, Echinodermata, Asteroidea, Valvatida, Asterinidae.
UUUUGGGAAGGACCCCGAACCUAUUUUAUCUACCGCAUUUACUGUACACACAUUCGCAAGUGCCCUCUAUCUAGUGAGGCCAAACCAGUGCAAUACACAUGCCACGCAAGUGUUAUUGAGUUUCCACCAGCCUGGCGAGUGCACUGCACUGCAAAAAGCCUGCGAAAUAAUCAUCUCUCACAAGGAUUUUGACUCCAGGAACAGAGGCCUCAUCGCUGACUAAGGACUCAGCAAGGAUUCAUCGUGGGCCAGGACCAGCGGAGUACUUGAAGUUGUCGAGCCUGGUGAGAAUGAGACGGCUCUUUUGAAAAUCAACCGCCAUGACCGCACCUUCAUUUUCAAGGCCUUCACCGCGCUCAAGUUUUACAUGCACAGGAAAACCAGUGAACUGAGAUUUGACUGGUCUUUACUUUCAAAACUCGAACUUAGUUGCUCCAUGAGUUGCUUGCGGUUCACUCCAUCUUCAAUCUCAUAUCUGCCAUGUAGCACUUCUUUGUGGGAGGCUGUAUCUGGACAGAUGCUGUGUACAUAGAUGGUACCUAUUGAUCUUCUGCCAUGGGAACCAAGGUGCAGACAGGCAGCUCAGGAUGUCUGUGAGGGAUGAGGCACCGUCCUGAGGUCAUCAACACAUCUUCUCUGGCUUCUCUCAGGAUGAUUGAGUGCUCCAAACUGAAGAGACUGACCUUUGCAAACCAUGCUGACGCUGGAUUGGACCAGACCAGUGCCUAGACUAUCCUGAAUGACUGCCUGCUGAGGCUUUUCCCUGGCGGCAUCGAAGCCAUCCACACCAUAACCCAUGAUGCCCUGGCCUGGAUGUCUACCUUGGCCUACACGCCAUAUGAAAGAAGUGCCUAGAUUAGGCAGGACAGGCUGGAUGAUCAUCACCAUGCUGACUGAGAUGACCUUAAGGAUGACUGAUCACAUGACUGAGAUGCUGAGUCCUGGUGGAGGUUUCCUUGGUCUCAUUUGGAAGACUGCUGACAGGAAUUGGCUGGACUGGAUCAAGUGGCUGCUGUUGGAGCAAACUUUGAGCAAAUCCUUGGCAAUGAGAGGUCCCAAUCCAAUCAUACAAGAUAAUAUUCCGAGUCUAAAAAUUUAAGCAAGGAAAGAGAAAUACCAGACAAGAAUAAAUCACCUUUUUCCAAUAAGAAAAGUUCGCAGUUAGAACCAUGUAACAAAACUCUUUUGUGAGUUAGUGAGGUUCUUUGCCAUGCAAUCCUUCAAUUGUUAUCUCAUGUUUUUCCCAACUAUUGUGAGGCAGCACAUGUACUUUCAUUGCCAAGGGUUUGCUCUUAUGAUUGAUUAAUUUGAAUUAGUUGUCCAGGCACAUGUCACAAAAGUCUGAAAUGUUUUCAAAAUUAAUAAGGAUAAGCACAUUACAACCCCACCCCUCCAAAAAACCCUCCACUCCUUAUAACGUUUUUGUUAAGACGUAAAGUUUGAACUCGUGCAAAAGUACAAACCUUAUGAAUUGCAUUAACUGUGAUGCUCUCUAGACUUUUCAUUUUUGAUUCUGAGUGUUUGUAACUCAAAAUGAAGGUCUAAAACAGACAAAUUUGUUGACAUGUGCCUGGGCUGUUGUCUUUAACUGAAAAAAAAGUUAAGCUGAAAAUUGAUAAUUGUAUAGAUCUACAAUGGCACAUUAUAAUCAUUGAUCAAUAUAAAUUGAUCAAUUUGGCAGUUUUAUGAUUAUAUUAAUAACACAUUAAUAGUUGAAUUCUGAUGUGAUGAUGUUCUGUUUGAUCUCUGCCAUUGUAUCCUUUUUACUGCUUGAGUUUUGAUAAUUUUGGAUGGCAGUGAUACCAUUUGUUUAAAUAUAUACUUUGAAAUCAUGAAAUGUUUUAUCAACUUAACUGUUAAUGAAUCUGUUUCCGACAUUUCAGAGAAAAGAGUUCUAUUAAUGAGAAGAAAAAAAACAAUGCAUGACCAAUUUUUAUUGAGGUAAAGAAUGUAACAUUUUGCAUUUUUAUAUCAUGCCUUUAGUCACAAAUUGAAUGUAUUUGGCAAGGUAAUAUUUAUUGGUAAGGUAAUAUAUUAUAAUGUGCCAUUGUAGAUUCAUUUGCUACUUUAAUUAAAAUGAGGUUUCUGUGAUGUGAUGGUGUUUUUCUUUUGGACAUAUCUGCUGUCUAUUUGUACAAGUUUGCAGCACAGAACAUUGCUAUCAUAUCCUGUUGGAUAAAUUCCAUAUUUUCUAUGCUACGAUUCAAAAGAAAUUGGUUAUACAAGUAUACAAAUAGGGCUAAUUUGACACAAUUUACUGCAGAAACAGCGAAAAAAAUUUAAGCUAUUCGUGGAUUUCAGUAUUUCAAGGAAAAAGUACAAAUUUGGCAAUUUGAAAUUUGAAAACUAGAAAAAUUUAAGUUGUAUUUUUAAGAUUUUUUUCUCAAGACACGUUUUUCGUUUGCAAUAAUUAUGUUUGCGAGAAGAAACAAAUGCAUUAUCUAAGACUUGCUGCAAAUUUGAUCUAAGUAGACAGCAGAUAUGUCCUUUGGAUGUCGGAGAGUGGGGGGGGGGGGGUUCCAACUGAAGGGCUCUCUUCAGUGGGGUUUAACUUAAAAACUUUUUGAAGGGCGCCCUCUUGUGAUCUAUUUUUUAGACGGCAAUGUGUGGGUUGCCCACUUGGAACAAACUAAAUGUUAAAAUGAAAACCGUCACAAGAGGGCGUCCUUCAAAAAAAUUAAUUGAAAAUUUUUCUUGGCGCCCUUUAUAGUGCCUAACAGUUUUUGAAGUUGAACUUUGUCAAAGAGGGCGCCCUUUGCGUAUUUUAACUUGUUUUUUUUUUUAAAUAAGUUAAAAUUGUAAAAUAUUGGGGGUGCCCUCUGGUUAUUUAAUUUGAAAAAAUUUAAUUGGAAUAAAAUACAAGUGAGACAUGGUAAUUUGGUUUU